GGAGGGGUGGCAGAGAGGCCGAUCGCGCUUGUCUUGAAAACAAGAGUCUCGGUAACGGGACCGUGGGUUCGAAUCCCACCCCCUCCG
Molecule: transfer RNA, 87 nt
Filed under: Candidatus Vogelbacteria bacterium RIFOXYD1_FULL_44_32
Lineage: Bacteria; Candidatus Vogeliibacteriota
Description: tRNA-Ser
Rfam family: tRNA
About the family: Transfer RNA (tRNA) molecules are approximately 80 nucleotides in length. Their secondary structure includes four short double-helical elements and three loops (D, anti-codon, and T loops). Further hydrogen bonds mediate the characteristic L-shaped molecular structure. tRNAs have two regions of fundamental functional importance: the anti-codon, which is responsible for specific mRNA codon recognition, and the 3' end, to which the tRNAs corresponding amino acid is attached (by aminoacyl-tRNA synthetases). tRNAs cope with the degeneracy of the genetic code in two manners: having more than one tRNA (with a specific anti-codon) for a particular amino acid; and 'wobble' base-pairing, i.e. permitting non-standard base-pairing at the 3rd anti-codon position.
Source: RNAcentral